This 21383-nucleotide long non-coding RNA is filed under the name Citrus maxima (pomelo). Its description in RNAcentral is "long non-coding RNA (CMAX_LNC000887)". The record is from RNAcentral. Lineage: Eukaryota; Viridiplantae; Streptophyta; Magnoliopsida; Sapindales; Rutaceae.
AAAAACUUCGUUUCAAGCUACAAUUACGGGACUCAGGUGGUCGAGUUGACGGAUCGAGUGAUCAAUUUAAAGAAAGACGGAGAAAAAAUUGAAGUCGUUGUUGAGAAGGCGCCGGAUGGUGCAGCAAUUGAAUUACCUCUUGAUCACACAGUUGUUGGUCAAGAACUAUUACUUGAUCAAGUUUGGAGAUGUAUCACUGAUCAGGAAAAUAACAGGGGAAUUAUCGGCUUGUAUGGUAUCGGGGGAGCCGGCAAAACUACCCUUUUAAAACAAGUCAACAACAACUUCUGCCAUCAACAGCAUAAUUUUGAUGUUGUUAUCUGGGCGGCUGCGUCAACACUUCAAGAUGACAUUGGAAAAAGGAUUGGCUUUUCAGAAGACAGAAACUGGAAGGAAAAAAGUUUAUAAUUAACGAAAGGGCCUUUUUCUUUUUUUAAAUCCCGCUAAAGGUUAUAAUUAACAACAAAUUAAUAAUAGAAGAGAGAGAAAUACCAAGUUCAAUAUGGUAAUAUUUUAUCUUCCCUUAACUGCUCCCCUUUGGCUUAUAAUGCGACCUUUAUACUCGUUGACAAAAUUGUAUUUGUCGCUUAAGUCUUGUUUGUUUUAAAAUGCUGGCAUAUUUAUGGAGUGGGAACUAGGGAUGGCAAUGGAGUGGAUUUGAUCCAAGAUCCAUGUGAUCCAAAUCCAAUCGGAUCGGAUUUGGAUCGGUUUAAAAUGGAUUUGGAUAUCGAUGUGCGGAUCUAAGACAGAUAUGGAGCAGAUAUGGAUCUAUCUUAAUAUCUAAAUCCAUAUCCAUAUCCACUCAUCUUUUAAUUUUAUUUUAUUUUAAAAGUUUAUUAAUAAUUGUGGAAUGAUAAUGAUAAUAAAUUUUAUUCAUAGCAUAUUAGUAAUAUUUACCAUGAAUUUAAACUCUUAAAACUUAAAGGUUAGUUUUGUAAAUUUAAAGGUCAGCCAGCCUCAAAACAUGUACAUGCAAUAUUCAAAUUGCAAUCCAAGUAAUAUAACCUGGUAAUAUAUUUUAUCAUAUUGGCCAAAUAAUUUUUAAGGAAUAUAGUUAUUCAUAUAUUUAGUCAAAUGUGGUCAUAAUAAAAAUAAUAAAUGACUGAAUAUAAAACAUAUUUAAUUUAUAUAUCAUUAUCUAAUGUUGUAGGAAUGAGGGUAGGUGUAUCGUGAAUACUAGAAUGAUGAAGGAGACAAUAGAAUAUUAGAUUGAUCUUACUCCUGCAAUUACUUCUGAAUGAUAUUUUAUUAUCUUUCUUAUUUGUUGUUUUGGUAUAGAAGUAUAAGCUACAAUAUUUAUUAUAUUUUUGAGAAAAAUUAUAUAAUUUAUUUGUUAUCAAUACAUUUUAGCCUUCAAUUUUCAAUCUAAAAAAUUAUUACUUUUUUAUUACGGAAUUUUAGAAUUCAUGACGGAUCUAGAGCAGAUUUGGAUUUUAAUUUUUUUUCGGAUUUGGAGCAGAUAUAGAUAUUUAUUUCUUUUUUGGAUCUGGAUAUGGAGCGAAAAAUAUGGAUUCAUAACAGAUCUGGAGCAGAUACUGAUCUUGAUUUUUAUUAUGGAUUUGGAUCUGGAGCAGAGUAGAUCCAACCCAUAUCUGCCCCAUUGCCAUCCCUAGUGGGAACCCAGAUGCUGAACUCAUAGUAAAUAUUUAUUUAAUUUGUUAUAAUUACAUUUGGUGGGAUAAUUUUAAAUAUUAAUUUAACAAGAUAGUGAUGUUUGCCUUGCCCUACAUGAAGAAAAAUAAGUAAUUAAAGAUUUUUCUUUUCCUUUAUAUUAGUAAUAGAUUUCAAAUGGAAAACAGACAAAUUUCAUUUUUGUUUCAAUAAUUACCCUAUCACUGUGUGCGUGCGUGAUCACAUAAUUUUGUACUACCGUCUGUGGAAUAACUUUAGGAAAAGAAAAUUAAUUUUUUUUAAGUAAUGAUAAAUAUUUUAAAAUUUUAUCUUAAAUUGUUUUCUUCUCUUAUCAAUUUUUUUUUUCUCCUAUCUUCCAAUGAAAGUGCAGGACCUCAAUUAUUUUAAUAGAGAUGUAGUAAUAAAUUAUUAAUGAAACAUGUCAAAUCCAAUGUAUAGAUAAUAAUAAAAUGAGGCUAAUGCUAAGUUACAUACAUGUAACUUAGGGGAUCCAUAAAAUAAAUAUACAUGGUUUCAAAAAAGUUAGCACAUGCUUGUUACAAAUAUAAAACAUUAUCUUAAAAGUCUCUGAACUUUUGUGUUCUCUUUAACAUUUUUCUCUUAUGUUGUUUUUGUACUAUAUGGAUACAAGAGUGCGUUUGGCACGCUGUAUUAUAUUAUGUUGUAUUGCAUUAUUUUAAUGCAGGUGUAUUGCAUUAUGUUGUGUUGCAUUAGUAAUGUAUUAUAAUAAUGUUGUACAAUGUUUGGUACUAUAUUGUACUGUAUUAAUUUUUAAUUAUAUUAUAUUUGAUAUUGCACUAUAUUGUAUUAAUUUUUUGUGACUAAUUUAAAUUAUAUAUUUAGAAAAUACUAAUGAAUUGUGCUAAACAAUCUAAUAAUUAUAUAUUUUAUUAAUUUUUAAUUAAUAUUAUUCAAAUUUAUUCAUAUUUAAAUAUUAUUAUUAGUUAUAUUAAAUUAUUUAAAAAUAACUAGUUUAAUUAUUUUAAUAAAUUAAAUAAUAUUAUAUUAUAUUAUAUUAUUUAAGUAUUUAUUAUUAGUUAUAUUAACUUAUUAAAAAUUAAUUAAUUAAAUAUAUUAAUUGAUAUAAUUUUACAUAUUAAUUAAUAUAAUAUAAUUAAAUAAUACAUUUUUUAGUUGUACAUUUACUAUGAUAAAAAUUAAAAUAUAAUAUAAUAUUAUUAAACAAUAAAUUUAUUAAUUUAUAUUAAAAUUAUAAUGUAAAAAUAAUAUUAUAUAAUAUAAUAUUAAAUUAAAAAUUAUAUUCAUUUAUCAUUAUUACAAAGUAUAUAAAAAAAAAAAAAAAAGAGGAAGCUAAAACUAAAGUGGUAACUGGACGCAUUAGCUAAACCCGACUAUAUGUCGGGUUUAGCUAAUAUAGCCAUUUGGUACCCCAAACAUGGGGCUGCAUUGCUAAUGUAAUGCAAUCCCAGGUAAAGAGGGGUACCAAACAACCCCCAAGUUCACUUAAUGUAACAUAACAUACUUUUAUAUAUAUAUGUAUAUAUAUAUAUAUAUAUAUACACACUACGUGGAGGUGAGCUCCUUAAGGUGAGAUUUAUCAAAAUUAUAAAUUAUUACAACAUGAAAUUUAUUCUUAUUUAUAAUUGACCUAAUAUAAAUUAAGAUCGUUACUUUUAUAGCUACAUGAAAUUAUUCUUAUAUAAAAUAUCACUACAUAAAUGUUUUAUUGCAAUAUUGAUCUCUCUUUUUUCUUUAUUGUAUUUAUCUCUUCAUAAUCUUUUCCUUUUUAUUAAAAAAAAAUCAAAUAAAAGAUUCAUCAACAUCUCAGUCCAACAGUCUACCAGCGAAAACGAGUGUCCAUGCUUUUGAACCAAGGCCCAAUAUGUGAGGGAGAGAUUGUUGGGUUGUCUUAUAUCGGUUGUGAACUAGGAUGGGAUUGAAUGAGACCCAAAACUGCCUAACAUGAAUUCUAUCACUGGGAUUUUUACCCAGUAUAACAAACAUAACACAACGAAUUAUCAAUUUAUCACCUAAUGGCUCUAACUUUAGCGAUGAUCACCUUACAUGAACAUGAAAAUUAAUCCCAUUGUUUAACUCAACACUGACGAUAAUCACUUAAACUCUUAUGCACCGAAGGAUAUACUCGCUACAGGGAAUCUUAACUCAUAAAGAUGCUCCCACAUCUUCCAUUAAGUUUCCAUCGAACAACUAUUCAUAUCAUUCGAUGAAAAAUUAAUUUUAGUGAGGGCCAAAAGAGCACGAGUGAUCCAAACCACUAAACAACAUCAUAACCAACACAAAAUUCAUACUAAACAAACCAUUACCAAAACAGCAAAGCUAGACAUAAAUUUGAACAGAUACACAAGCUACAUUCAUUACCAUAAUGUAUCGACUAAAUUUCCAAGCUCUCCUGUGCUGCUUGUCUAACUGAUUCAAAUCCACAUAGAUAAAUUUAAGCACAUUAAGUUUUCAAACUCAAAUCAAACAGCUUUAAAAGUUACUUCACAAACAAUGAAUUUCAUUUUCGAAAUACAAAGAAUCCGUUCAGUUUAAAACAAUAAAAAAUCGUCUACGACUACUCAACUCAUGUAUUAUAACUAAAAAAACGAAGGAUACCCACAAAAAUUAAAGAUAAAUUACCAAAAACCCAAAAAACUCAAGCCAAAAUUGCCAAAAAAAAAAAAGCGAGAGAAUGGAAAUUGGGGUACCAGGGGCGGGCGAGAGGAAACGAGAAGAGGAAGAAAGAGGGGUUUUAGAGAGAGUGGGAAUUAGUGGAGGCAAAAAUGGAGAGUUUUGCCUCCACUAAUGAUUGGUGGGGUGGUGAUGGCGGUGGUGGGGUUAAUGUUCUGGAGGGUAUGCUGAAGAGAGGUCGCAAGAGAACCUCCAUAGCCUUUAAAGAGAGUUGAGUUGCUGCUUUCUUUUGCCGUGGAUGGAGAGAGAUUAAGGGAUUAGAAUUCUGUAUGGAAUUUACUUUUUAUUAAAUAAAAAAUUAAUGUUAAAAUCAUUUUAUUUUAUUUUUUUAUCUAGUUAUCAUUGACUUAAUAUUUUGGAUCUUCAUCCAAAGUAAAGGCACAAAAUUUUUAUUCUAAAUAAAUAUUCUCAAUAUAAAUUUAUCACUUAAAUAAUAAAUGAUAAGAUUUUAUAUUAAUUCUGUCAUUACUGAAAUGAAUUACAAAUUUUAUAUGACGUGUAAACGUAUCAUUAUAUUCUUGAUAUUUGACAUCUUGACUAAAGCAACAAAUGUAUCAUAUUUUUAUUUUGGUAUUGUGGUUCUCUAAAAAUACCCUCACCAAAUUAGCUUAAUUCUUUUCAUUGUACCCAUUGCUUCUCUUCCUCUUUUCGUCAACGACAAUGGGUAACUUAAUCUCAACCUUCUUACCAGCAGACUUAUUUGAUCGAACUUCAAACUGCGUUGGUGAACAAGCAAAAUAUGUAUGGGGUCUCGAAAAAAAUCUUCGGGUCUUGGAGACUGAAUUGCACAAAUUGACUCGAGCAAGGGCCGAUCUGAAGACCAAGGUUGAGGUCGAAGAACAACGACCUCGAACCAGACGAACGAACCAGGUCGCAGGGUGGCUUGAAGAUGUGCAAAAUCUGGAAACUGAAUUUACCGAGCUGGAACGAGUUAGAGCUCAUGAAAUGGAUAGAUUGUGCCUUGGAGGCCUCUGUUCCAAAAACUUCGUUUCAAGCUACAAUUAUGGGACUCAGGUGGUCGAGUUGACGGAUCGAGUGAUCAAUUUAAAGAAAGAUGGAGAAAAAAUUGAAGUCGUUGUUGAGAAGGCGCCGGAUGGUGCAGCAAUUGAAUUACCUCUUGAUCACACAGUUGUUGGUCAAGAAUUAUUACUUGAUCAAGUUUGGAGAUGUAUCACUGAUCAGGAAAAUAACAGGGGAAUUAUCGGCUUGUAUGGUAUGGGGGGAGUCGGCAAAACUACCCUUUUAAAACAAGUCAACAACAACUUCCGCCAUCAACAGCAUAUUUUUGAUGUUGUUAUCUGGACGGCUGCGUCAACACUUCAAGAUGACAUUGGAAAAAGGAUUGGCUUUUCAGAAGACAGAAACUGGAAGGAAAAAAGUCUUCAAGACAAGGCUGUGGACAUCGCUAGCAUUUUAAGCGGAAAGAAGUUUGUGUUGUUAUUAGAUGAUGUAUGAGAGCGCAUUGAUUUAACAGAAUUGGGUGUCCCUCUUCAAAAACUAAAUGAUGGGUCCAAAGUAGUCUUGACAACUCGUUCAGCUGGUGUUUGCGAUCAAAUGGACGCUGAAAAGUUGGAAGUGUAUAGUUUGGCGCAUGAUAAAGCCUGGGAAUUAUUUCAGGAGAUGGUCGAAAGAUCCACUCUUGACAGUCAUACCAGUAUUCCAGAGCUAGCCGAAACCUUGGCAAGAGAGUGUGGUGGGUUGCCGCUAGCGCUUAAAAUAGUGGGUCGAGCGAUGAAAAGCCAAAGGAAAGUUGGAGAUUGGAAACGUGCAAUUAACAAAAUGAGAACAUCAGCUUCUAAAUUCUCAGGUAUGAAGGAAGAGGUGUUUUCGCGUUUAAAGUUCAGCUAUGAUAGUUUGUCUACGGAUGAACUUCGUUCCUGUCUCCUGUAUUGUUAUUUAUAUCCUGAAGACUACGAAAUUCCUAAAAGGGAAUUGAUUGAUUAUUGGAUUAGUGAAGGAUUUGUGUAUGAUUUUGAUGAUGGAUGCGAUUUUAUUGAUGACCUUCUUCAAGCAUGCUUAUUGGAGGAAGAAGGCGAUGAUCAUGUAAAGAUGCAUGAUAUGAUUCGUGAGAUGUCAUUAUGGAUAGCGUGCACGGUAGACAAGGAGGAGCAGAACUUUCUGGUUCGCGCUGGAGUUAAAUUGACCGAAGCACCAAAGGUUGAAGAAUGGGAAGGUGCCAAACGGAUAUCUCUGACGGCAAAUGGAAUUGGAAGCCUAUCGGAAAUUCCCACGUGUCCACGUCUCGUCACUUUACUUCUGGAUGGAAAUCGGAUUGAGGAGAUUACUGAUGGCUUCUUUCAAUCUCUGUCGACUCUUAGAGUAUUAAGUCUAAGAGGAAAUUUUCCCCCAAGUACACUACCUUCAGGGAUUUCAGGUUUGGUUUCAUUACAUCAUCUUGAUCUUUCUUCGACUGACAUAACUGGGUUGCCGCAAGAGCUGAAGGCAUUGGAGAAGCUGAGAUAUUUGAACUUGGACUAUGCAUUUCAUUUGUCUAUAAUUCCACAUCAAUUGAUAUCUUGUUUUUCAAAGUUGGAGGUACUCAGGUUGUGUGGGUGCGGUCGCUUUGGUGUAAUAAAAGGGAAAGAAGGUAACGUUCUAUGUGAUGGUGCUGAACCUUUGAUGAAGGAAUUGCUGGGUUUGAAGCAUUUAAAUGUUUUAAGCUGGUCCUUCGGAAGUUCACUUGCUGUCCAAAAGUUUUUGAAAUAUCCAAAGCUGGUGAGCAUCACUCAAUCUGUAUGGGUUGAAUGUGGCACGUAUACAAGGCCACCGUUCAAUGUCUUACAUCUGGCAUACAUGGAGAAUCUUCAGGAGUUAGAACUUGAAUCCUGUAAUUUGGAAGAGAUGAAGAUUGACAGCACAGAAGAGGUAAAGAAACUUUUUCGAAAUGGUUUCCGCAAUCUUAACACAGUUGUCCUAAGGUCUUGCAGAGGGAAGGACUUAACGUGGCUUGUUUUUGUUCAAAAUCUCAAGCAGCUAAAUAUGCAGGGUUUUACUAUGGAAGAGAUAAUCAGUGUUGAAAAAUUGAGUGAUAUUUCAGAGGUAAUCGGGUCAGAGCAUAACUUUUUCCCACGACUCGAAUAUCUAACCAUGUGGCGGGGAACAAAUUUAAAGAGCGUUUACCCGAAUCCCCAGCCUUUUCCAAAGCUGAAGAAAAUUCAAGCAUUUCAUUGCCGACAGCUGUAGAAGCUCCCACUCAAUUCCAGCAGCGCGAAGGGACGUCGAGUUGUGAUGACAAUGCUAUAUUUGCUGCAGGACUUGAGUAAAAAUAAAAACAGCAAGAUUUGAUUAUGCUGUCAAUAAAAUCCUGCAAGAUUGUAGGAAAAAAAUUUGUUUUUAAAUUUUAUGAUAUCAGAUAUAUGUUAAAGAUAUGUAGGCAGAUUUUUUGGCUUUGUUUGUUUCUUUUCAUGUAUAAAUUCAAAUACUGCAAUAAUGAAUAAAAUACUGCAAUUAACAGACCCAAUUUCUAUGUGUUCUCUUUUCUUUGUUUAAAACCAACAAGGUGGUAUCAGAGCCCUUAUUCUUAAGGGACUUGUAACGUGAUUAGAGAGGCUUCCUACACUUCAAUAUGGCAGGAAAUGGUUUCUUAUCUGCUCCUCCAGUUUUCACAGGUGAAAAUUAUCAAAUAUGGGCUGUGAAAAUGGAAUCUUACUUGGAUGCAUGUGACCUAUGGGACUUGGUGGAAGCAGAUCCAGAGGAUCCACCAUUAGCUCAUAUGAGGAAUAACAGGGAUGAAAGAAAAUGGAGAUAUAAGGCCAAGACAUGCAUUCACUCUGCAGUUUCGGAGACAAUUUUUACAAAGAUCAUGACUUGUGAAACAACGAAACAGGCAUGGGAUCUUUUGAAACAAGAAUAUCAGGGGAACGUCAGGACAAAACAAAUGCAGGUCCUGAACCUGAGAAGGGAAUUUGAAAUGUAGAAAAUGAAGGAGACAUAAACAGUUAAUGACUAUAAAGACAAGUUGAUGAUGAUUGCCAAUAAAAUUAGAAUGCUUGGGGAAGAGUUUUCUGAUAGAAGGAUUGUAGAGAAGAUUUUGGUGACCUUGCCUCAGAGAUUUGAAUCUAAAAUCUCUUCACUUGAAGAGUCCAGAGAUAUGUCAACAAAGGAGAGCUUACAGAAAGGAGGAGAUAGUUGAAGGAGCAUUUCAAGUGAAAGAGGCUGAUCAAGCUCAGGGAGGCAGCAAAGAAAAGAAACAGUGGAGUAAGAAGAUUUACAAGAAGGGGGAAAGUAGCAUCAAUGAAGGCAACAAGGGCAAGCACUCCCCGUGUCCUCACUAUAAGAAAACCUCUCAUCCGCAAAAGAAAUGUUGGUUUAGGCCUGACAUUCAAUGCAGGGCAUGCAAGCAAAUUGGGCAUAUGGAGAGGGUGUGUAAAAACAAACAGCAAGAAGGACAUCAAGCUCAAGCAGCAGAACAACAACAGGAUGAACAACUUUUUGUUGUAUCUUGUUUUUCGAGUAACAGUUCGAGUGAUGAUUGGCUCAUCGACAGCGGAUGCACAAAUCACAUGUCUUUUGAUGAAUCUCUUUUCAAAGAAGUAAACAAGUCAGAAGUGUCAAGAGUUAAAGUUGGCAAUGGGCAGUAUAUUGAAGUGAAAGGUAAAAGGACAGUUGCAAUAAAAAGCUCAGCAGGUAUCAAGUUAAUUUCUGAUGUAUUACUUGUUCAUAAAAUUGAUCAAAAUCUACUGAGUGUGGGACAAUUGCUUGAGAAAGGUUAUUCUGUUGAAUUUAAGAAUAACAUGUGUGUCAUUACUGACCCAAAUGGUGUAGUGUUGUUCUCUGUGAAAAUGAAUAGCAAAAGCUUCAGCUUAAGUUGGAACAAGGAUGAAUGUAGUGCAUAUCAAUGUACUUUGAACCAGGCUGAGUUAUGGCACAAGCGGAUGGGGCAUUUUCAUUAUUCUGCAUUAGAUUACAUGCAGAAAAAUGAUCUUGUGCAAGGAAUGACUUUCAAUGGAGGAGGAGCAUCAGUGUGUAGAGUCUGUCAGCUGGGAAAACAAGCUAGAUUGCUAUUCCCUGUUAAUAAGGCAUGGAGAGCAGUUGAGAAGCUUCAGUUAAUCCACACAGAUGUUUGUGGACCUAUGAGGACUGCAUCCUUAAAUGGUAAUAGGUACUUCAUGGUUCUUAUUGAUGAUUUUAAUAGAAUGUGUUGGAUUUACUUUCUCAAACAAAAAUCUGAAGUUGCUAGUGUAUUUUGGAAGUUUAAAAAAUGGAUUGAAAAUCAAAGUGGUUGUAAAAUCAAGGUGAUUAGAUCUGAUAAUGGGACUGAAUAUACAGCUGAUAAAUUUGCUAAGUUUUGUGAAGCUGCAGGGAUUGAACAUCAGCUUACAACAACCUAUACACCUCAACAAAAUGGAGUCAGUGAGAGGAAAAACAUGACAGUCAUGGAGAUGGCUAGAUGUUUGUUGUUUGAGAAGGAAAUGCCAAAAAUGUUUUGGGCUGAGGAUGUUAAUACUGCUGUAUUUCUGCAAAACAAGUUACCAACAAAGGCUUUAAAGGGAAAAACACCUUUUGAAGCUUGGUUUGGUUUUAAACCCUCUAUUCAUAACUUGAGAAUUUUUGGUUGCAUGUGUUUUACUCAUGUUCCAGAUGCAAAAAGAGAGAAGUUGGAUCAAAAGGCAGAAUAUGGAGUUUUUGUAGGAUACAACACUCUCACCAAAGGUUAUAGAGUUUAUCAACCUUUGACGGGAAGAAUCAUAGUGAGUAGAGAUGUUAAAUUUGAUGAAACUGGAGGAUGGAAUUGGGCAACAGCUGAACCAAAGCAAGUUUAUGCAGAAGAAAAAACAUCAGAAUUGCAAGAUGAUGAUAUAAUUGAUGAUGAACCAAUAAGAGGUACCAGACCACUUAUAGAAAUUUAUCAAAAGUGCAAUAUGGUUGUGCUUGAACCUGCAGGUUAUAAUGAGGCUGCUAAAGAUCCAAAGUGGCUUGAACCAAUGGAAGAUGAGAUCAAGAUGAUUCACAAGAAUCAAACUUGGGAGUUGGUGGACAGACCACUACACAAGAAAACUAUUGGUGUGAAAUGGGUUUAUAGAACCAAACUCAAUGCUGAUGGUUCUGUAAACAAAUUCAAAACAAGGCUAGUUGUAAAAGGGUAUGCUCAACUAUUUGGUGUUGACUUUUCUGAAACGUUUGCACCUGUAGCAUGGCUGGACACCAUCAGAUUGCUUUUAGCACUUGCAGCACAAAAGCAGUGGAAAAUCUACCAGCUUGAUGUUAAAUCAGCUUUUUUAAAUGGCUAUUUGGAUGAAGAAAUCUUUGUUGAGCAACCUGAGGGUUUUGUUGCAGAUCUGAAGAAAGUAUAUUUGUUAAAAAAAGGCAUUAUAUGGCUUGAAGCAGGCUCCAAGAGCUUGGUACAGCAGGAUUGAUGAUCAUUUGCUGAACAUAGGCUUCAACAAGAGCAUGAGUGAAUCAACUUUGUAUAUUCAAGUAAUUAAUCAUGAAUUGAUUGUUGUUUCACUUUAUGUUGAUGAUUUUCUUGUCACAGGAAGCAAUGAAGAAUUAGUGAAGCAAUUUAAGGUUCAAAUGAUGCAAGCAUUUGAAAUGACUGAUCUAGGAGAGAUGACUUUCUUUUUAGGUCUGGAGAUUCAAAAGUCACAGCAAGGGAUCUUCAUUGGACAGCAAAAAUAUGCUAAAGAAGUGCCAAAGAAAUUCAACAUGGAGGAUUGCAAGUCAGUAUGUACUCCUUUAGCUCAAAAUGAGAAAUUUAGUAAAGAUGAUGGUGCUGAAAAGAUUGACGAAGCAUUAUAUAGGAGUAUUAUAAGUUGCUUGAUGUAUUUGACAGCAACAAGACCUGAUAUAAUGUUUGAUGUAAGUUUGCUGUCCAGAUAUAUGCAUUGUGCAAGUGAAUUGCACUACAAAGCUGCUAAAAGGGUGCUCAGGUAUAUCAAGGGAACUUUGGAUCAUGGAAUAAAAUUUGAGAAGGAAGACAAGCUGAUUUUGCAUGGUUUUGCUGAUAGUGAUUGGGCAGGAUCCUGUGAUGAUAUGAGGAGCACGUCAGGCUACUUGUUUAGUCUUGGUUCAAGUUGUUUCUGUUGGAGUUCAAAGAAGCAGGAAAUCGUAGCUCAGUCUACUGCUGAGGCUGAGUAUGUUGCAGCUGCUGCUGCAGUCAAUCAAGCCUUAUGGCUAAGGAAGCUUAUGACAGAUUUGAAAAUGAUUCAGGAUUAUGCAACUGAAAUCUUUGUUGAUAAUCAAGCUGCCAUAGCAAUUUCUAACAAUCCAGUGUUCCAUGGGAAGACAAAGCAUUUCAAAAUUAAAGUAUUAUUUUGUUAGAGAAGUCCAGAAGAAUGAUGAAGUAAGGCUCGUGUAUUGCAAGACUGAAGAUCAGCUAGCUGACAUUUUGACAAAGGGACUGUCAAAGUCAAGAUUUGAGUUGUUGAAGAAAAGAAUUGGUGUCUGCAGCAAAAAUAGCAAGGAGGAGUGAUGACAAUGCUAUAUUUGCUGCAGGACUUGAGUAAAAAUAAAAAUAGCAAGAUUUGAUUAUGCUGUCAAUAAAAUCCUGCAAGAUUGUAGGAAAAAAAUUUGUUUUUGAAUUUUAUGAUAUCAUAUAUAUGUUAAAGAUAUGUAGGCAGAUUUUUUGACUUUGUUUGUUUCUUUUCAUGUAUAAAUUCAAAUACUGCAACAAUGAAUAAAAUACUGCAAUUAACAGCCUCAAUUUCUUUGUGUUCUCUUUUCUUUGUUUAAAACCAACAAAUUGUCAUCGAGGGAACGAAAAAAUGGUGGGAAGAGCUACAAUGGGAGGAUCAAGCCACCCAAAAUGCUUUCUUUUCCUGUGCCGUACUUUGGGAGGAUCCUUAUUAUUAAUAUGUUUGAAUAUGUAUUUCCUUUUUCUUUUUUUUCUUGCUAUAGAGUUGCAUGAUUGUGAUGAUCCUUAUUAUUAUUAUCCUUUUUUUUUUUCACAUGAAGUUCAGUAACUACUUCCGAGAUUAAUAAGAUCCAACUCGUUUUUGGUUUAGUCAAAAACUUUUUGUGGCUCUAAAUCCUUUUUAACACCAGGCCAGGCAUCCACAAAUAUAUUGACACCAUUUUAUUUAUUGAUGUUUAUAUAACUGAAUUGAUUACAAAUUACCCUUUUUGUCCAGUGUGUUCAGAAUAUACUCUGCACAACUAACACAAAAAUAAACAUGUAACAUACUAAUCGUUUAUGUUAAUUUAUGGAGGCCUUAUUGUCCAAGGCAUAUGUAAAACCAUUUCACAUUCGGCAUUGUAAUGUUUAUGGACGGAUUUAAAUGAUGUCACACAAAGUCACAAAUAGUUAAAAAAAAGAAGGUGUUUGUUUUAAAAUGUUGGCAUAUUUAUGGAGUGGGAACUCAGAUGCUGAACUCUGAAUGGGCUGGAAUCGGAAUGGGUUAGAAUCGGAAUGAGCCGGAAUGAGAAUGGGGAAUGAGAGUCAAAAUAAGUUGUUUAUUUGAACUGUAGGAAUCGAAAUCGGAAUGAGUUAGAACCCCAUUAAUGUGUUUACUUUAUCUAAGAAUCGAAAUCGGAAUAAGUUAAGUUGUUUUAAGUUACUAAAACACCCUUAGUUGUUAAUAAUAAUAAUAAUAGUUGUCCUUUGGUAUUAAUGAUAAUAAUAAUAAAUUUAAUAAUAACAUUAUAAAUAAAUAAAUAAUAGUAAUAAUUAAUGAUAAUAAUGAAAUUAAAUAACAACUACUAAUACUACAAUAAUAAUAAUAAUAAUAAUAAUAAUAAUAAUAAUAAUAAUAAUAAUAAUAAUAAUAAUAAUAAUAAUAAUAAUAAUAAUAAUAAUAACAACAACAACAACAACAUUAAUAACAAAUAAGCAAACAAUGAAAUAAUACAAACACCAAUCUACAUAAUUUUAAUGUACAAUAAGUGGCCGAACAAUAUAAGAAAUUAAUAAUUUAAAAUAUAAAAUUAUAAUUCCCAAAACAAACAUUGUGCUCCUCUUCACCGGAUGUAGCAGAUCGCGACGAAAAAUGGCGGCAGGAUGAGCGCGACCACGGUGGCAACAGAUCGAUCGGGACCACGGCGGCAGAUCGUGACGAACGAAAGCAGCAGAUCGCAGCCUUUUGACACCCCCUCGAAGACCCUCCUUUAAAUUCCUUAUAACUCUUUAAUUAAAAUUAUUUAAAUAAUUAAAGAUAAAUUAAUUCCAUUUUAUUUUGAUGGAAAAUUUAAUUAAUACUUAAAUAAAAUUAUUCUUUUAACAUUUUUCCACCCACCUCAUUUCAUAUAUAUAUAUAUAUAUAUAUAAUUUUUAGAAACUUUUAAUAAUUUAUAAUCUUUUUAAGGUGAAAUUUAAUGAGAAGAUUAUUAAUUUUAAUUUAUGGAUUAGUAUUUUAUAAAUUAAACCAAGGUACUUUGAUAAAUAAAAAUUAAAACAAGUUUUAUAAGGAUUUUGGAGUGUACGAAUUCAGAAUAUAGAUUUUCAUGGGGACGUUGAAUAUGCUGAAGCUGAAGCUAUGAAUUUUAGAAUAAAAAUGGCAAUAGACUUUGGUUUAAUGCCAUUAAUUGUUGAAUCAGACUCGAAUACUAUUUUAAACUUGGCGAAAGGUUUUGAAAGAAGUAUGAAAGAAAUAUCAUGGUUAAUUUUCGAGAUUCGAAAUUGUAUGGUUGUGAAAGACCACUUCGAAAUCAAUCUUACAUAGAGAAGUAGUAGUGAGACCACUCAUAAAUUAGAUAAAUAUGAUGUUAACAAUUCAGGCUGUGUAAUUUGGUUGGAGGAAAUUUCAACUCAUGUAAGUCUUUUUCCUUUAAGCGAUUAAUUGAAGUUUUCCAUUUCCAAAGAGAGAUAGAGAGAGAGAGAGAGCUCAACUCAAAUGAAAGUACGAAACAAAGAGUAAAUCCUGAUAGUAGAAAAAUGAGCCAUGAGUAGAACUAUUCGCACCUUUGAAAGCCCUCAUAAAAAUCUUUCUUCAAUAUGUCCCGCUAAAUCAUUUAAAAAAUAAUAUUAUUUCUAAGGGCAGAGCUAUUUGCACUCUAAAAAUUAUUCUCAACGUUUUAUUACUAUAUACACAUAUUUAUUAAUUUAAAAAAAUGAACUAUAUUUUGUACAACUAUGAUGCCACUUCCACCUCCAAUUGAAUGUCAGAAAAUUCAAAGUUUGUCAAAAGAGGAUGGUAAAUUAAGCCCCCUUUUUUUUUUAAUCUGGAUUUGGUUGAACAUUUUUAUGUCGCAAAAAUGUUUGCUGUGUUGUAAUGCCUAAGUGUUGCAGACUAGUUUGUAAGAGUCUGAAUAAUUGUCCAUGUUACUCUGGUAUUGUGGAAUGCCAUGUAUUUUUUGGCCAAAAGAAAAAAUCAAGCAACCAAUGUAAACUUGUUUAAUAUCAUCAUAAUAUAACUGAAAAAGAAGUAAUUAUAGUCAUACAAAAAAAAUUAAUAAUUGUCAUGUCCUUAAUAAUAAUUUAUAUCAUAAAUAUUAUUGAAAUAAUUUUUUUUUAUAAAAUUAUCAGUGUUUAGUGUAAUUUUUAGAGUGUAUAUAGCCUCAUUCUAUUUCUAAACCCACAUAAGUUGAUUCCAAAAACACCCUUGGCUUACACACCAACCCCAUUUUCACAUUUUCUUCGUCUUGGGGAGCUUGAAACCCAAAUCUGAUGGCUUCAACUUUCGAAUAAUCAUUAUCUCCAUUAGAACUUAUAAUUUUAAAAGCUAUUUCCAUAAUAUUUUCAUUAGAAUUUCUUAUAACAACAUCCAACAUUGGUUAUUGAUAUUUUAAGGUUUCAUCUUAAAUAAUAAUAACAAAAUAAUUAAAAUUUUAUCAAAAUUUAAGGAAAUACAUUGUACUUUGAUAAACAAGGAAUGUCAACUAAAUAUCGUCAAAAUAAAUAAUAAAUUUUUAAGUCGAGUUUUGGUUUCACAUAAUUGUAAUUAUGGAGACUAGUUAUUCGAAUAAAAUUUAAUUUCUUCUGUUUAUCAUUGUAACUUUACAUAGGGACAAUUGCAUGAUUAUAAAGGCAGGGUUUGAUAAGGAUUUUUUGGAGGUACCAAUAGGACCACUCAUGAGCCAUGACAAAAUUAAGCCCAUGCGAGGCCCACCUAAUCCAUUUUUACAUUUAGCCAAUUAGCCUGAAGAAUAAGACGAUAAUAAACAGUAAGCCUAAAUAAUAAGAUGAUAUGAAAGUAAGAAUAAGGUUAAGAUACCAAUUUUUUAGUCUUAACUUCUUAAGUCUUAAGUCUUAAUGUAACAUGUCAUUCAUUUAUUAGACGAUAAAUUUCAUAACUUGUAAAAUUAUUUAACCACCAUCCAAUAAAUGAUUGUCAUAUCUAUUGAAAUUUAAAUUUAAAUUUUAGAAUACUUAGCAUUGAGCUGAAUCUAAACGAUUUUAUUUUCUAUUAUUUUUAUUUUAUUUUAAUUUUUUUUCACAAUCGGAUUUUUCUUUGAGACAAUAGAAAGCCUUUUGGCUUUAAGUUUCUGAAAACCAAUAAUAAAAAAUUAUCCAUGAGUUUCUGAAAACCAAUUAACUUCAAAAUCUCUUCCAGCGCUAGGAGGAACAUCUUCAAUAACUUUUUCAUGACCUUUUGGGUAAUAAAUCCCAGUUCUUUCAUGAGGAACCCAGCUACAAUUCCCUUCAUUUUCUCCCACAUUAUUAUUCAUCUGCUGGCUCCUCAUCACAUUUCCUUCUUCCGCAUUGGAUUUCAAUGCUGUUUCUCUUAUCAUAUCAUUAGAACUUGCUUUCUUUUGAAAGGAUUUCCUCAUUAUUGGCCUAUAUGUUUCAAAAAGACUUAACAAAUUAAUAAUGUAAAAACAAAGACUAAAAUAUUCAAACACUCAAAUGAAUGAAAGUAAUCUCUUUUUAUUAUUGCGUGGACAGUGGCGAAAUCAGGAUUUUGGAUGUCAUCAAUAAUAGAGAAACAACAAAUUUUAAGUAGGUUAUAACACAAGAAUAUAAACAUAUGGGGGCUACAAAAUAAAAUUAUCAGACAUAAGGAUAAAUUUAAUUGAAGACUUUCAUAUUUCUUGAUAAUGUUUUUUAACCUGAGUCCCCUGUGGAGACAUAUUGAUUCAGUUAAUAAAACAUUUAAUUCUAUGUACUUAACCAACCACUCAUAAUUAGUAAUUACAUAAUUUGAAACUAUUAGGCCUAUUUCGAACGAACUGUUUCAUAACAAAAUUAAUUUAGAUAAAGUGAAAAGAUUUAUUUACAAACAUACCAUGCAAUAAUGAAGUGCGAUUGUCAAAAUGAAAUGAUGAAAUAGCAAAGUAGAUAGAUAAAAACAUGGAGUUAAAGGUGGGAGCUCCUCUAGCAAAUGAUCCUGUCAUCUUUUUCUUCUUUUUUCUCUCACUUUCUCUCUUUCCAAACAAUGUGGGUGGAAUGAAUUGAAUUAUGAUUUAGAUAGAGAGCUCUUUACAUAGUGAAGUUAAAUAAGAGAAUAUUGUUAUCUAUUUCUCUCAUCUCUAGGGAGAUCGUUUAUUGUACGUCAUUUUCUGUUUGGAUAAAUAUUAAAUUAUAACACUCUUUCUUGAUCAUUGGGGAGCACUCAUUGCAGAGCAUGGCCUUCUUUUGUUCCCUUUUGUUUUGUUUUUGUUUUUUAGUCAUCUAAGUUAUGGGACAUGGCUUGUGGACUCAGCUUUUAGAAACUUUCCCUAGAUAAGUAGUUGAAUCUAGGGGAGGUACUUUUUAGUUUUAUAAGUGACAUUGAUUCACCUCAUGAUUAGUGGCCAGAGAGAAUAAUUACGAAAAAAAAAUUUUAAUUGUUAAUUAAUUUUGUUGAAUAUAUUAAAAUAGCCAAGUUAAAUUUAUAAAAAUAGUUUCAUAAACUCUUAAAUCCAUAAAAUUUUAAUUUUGAGGAUUACAAAAACCACACUUUAACAGAUAUACAAAAAGAUUGUAAAGAUAUAAGAUGAGUCGUUAAUAAUUGCACGUGCAAACAUCGUAUAUUCUUUAUAAUUAAUUGUGCAGAUUUUCAUGACCAAUGCACCAGAUUUUGAUGACCAAUGCACCUGGGUGCGAAAACAAAAAUUAGAACAAAAUAUAUUAAUAAGGGAAGGCCACUCUUUUGUCAAUAUAUAUAUAUAUAUAUAUAUAUAUAUAUAUAUAUAUAUAUAUAGAGUUUGUUAUAAAAGAUUACCUCAGUAUCAAACUCUCCCGAUUCAACAUUGACAUUGAUGACAGUGAAAAUCUUUACAAGAUCCACCAAUAAUCCAGGUCGAUCAGCCGUCUCCACCAAAAGCAAACUUCAAUAAAACAAAAGGUAAACUAAACAAAAAUAGUAAGGACCAAAUUAUCUGACUACUUCAGUUAUGGGCAGGAAUUGCCACUUGGGCUGGAGUAUGAGUAGUAAUAAUGUGGGACCAAAGUUUGGUGGAUAGCAAAAGCCCCAUCAUCUAGAUAAGAGAAUGAAUUAUGCAUUGCCUUCGGUUGGGGCCAUCAUCAUAGAUGCUUAUGUGGGUUGCUAUGUCCACAUCAACCUGACAAAUUCCAGCACAACAAGAUUUGAGACAAGAUUGAAGUGGGACGUUAUCCUUCCCAUAAUAACUCAUAUACGUAGUUUUUAACAUUCACAACAUGAUAUUAAUUUCAAUGGCAGGCAAAUUGAAUAUAAUGUCUUUAAAGAAAAUGAGGAUAAAAGUGAAGUAAUAUUUGGCCUAAGAGAACUCUAAAACAACUUAGUUUCCUAUUCAAAUGAUCACUAGUGAGAAGAGCCAAAAAUAUCAAUAAUCUGAAAAAUCAAAAUAAGACCAGAAAGCAAAAACCUGUUGUUUUGGAGGAUCAACGCCAAAGGCAACACCCAUUGCCAACUGGGAACUUGAUUCCUGAUUCCAUCACCAACACAAAUGGAAUAAGCUUUUGAAUAAGACAAUUCCUACAGGUGCUCCACCAAGUGAUAUCUCAAGAGAGACAAAAAAAAAUGAUUACCGGGUGAUACUGAAGUAGAUUGUUUAUAACUGUCAAACAAAUUGCCUCAAGCACCUCAGGAUCAUCAACUUUCCUACCAGUAUCACCGCACACAAGCAUCAUGACCAAAUUAAUCAAAACCACAGUGGGAAUCUAUUGCAAGAACUGCUCCAAAAAACACCGAUGGCUCUUUGGAUCAUUGAUUUUAGGUUCUAGUAUGUCCAAAAUUUUAACGAUUUCAACAUUAGUGAUAAACAUCUAUUUGCAACAGACUGAUCAUACUUGUAUAUGGAGCAUCACAAGUAGGUAUUUACUAUGCUCAUCAAAUAUAGACCAGAAGACGUUGACAACAAUUAAAGGGUAUUAGUGAAUGAAACUGCAAGCAGAGAAUACAAAUCAGCUCAGUAAUGCAAGGGCAUGAAAAGCAAAAUGCAUAUGCAUCACAAAAUUAUAGAGAUAUAUAAUUUCGCAGUCAUAUGAUGAUAUUGCAGCGGUGAAGCCGUGCGUGAGGUUAAGGCAAGCGAUGGAAUGACUUGCGUUACAAAAGAGGUAUUUGCAAUGAUUGUGUACUGGACGGAAAUUGAAUCCAUGUUUAAGAAUUUACCGCCGGGGAAAAAAUGUCAAUACAAAGUCAAUGCGAACGAAUAGUGAAGUCAGCAGUCGCAAAGGCAAAGUUCUUAACCAGAUGGACUCCAGAUAGAUUAGCGGUGGCAGUUUCACAGCUGACAGAUGAACAAAGAAUGGCUGCUUGUCAAAUGGGCUUUGGUAGUUUUCUACAACUGAACCGUGGCAAGCUAAAAAGGAAACUUUGUGGCUAGUUAAUUGAGAUGAUUGAUACUUUGAGGUACAUUUUAGAGUUGAAUGGUAUUAGCUUUCGAACAAGAUCAUCAAAGAAACUCCACCAACCAGGAAAUUUAGACUUAAUCUAUGCUCUGCAAAUUCAUAUACUCUCUAAUAUGAAACUACUUUUAUGUGUUUUGUUAUUCCGACUUGGUAACGUUGUUAUGGAAGCCUGACAACUAUUAUGUCCGUGCAAUUUUUAUUGUAUCUUUUGUUAUGUCAUGAUAUCGAAGCUUGGUUUUCUGACUCCAACUACUAAGAACUGCAGUUGCAGCAUCUUUUGAAUAUUACAUAUGUGCUUGUAGUGUCUCCACGGAUUAAAAUCUGCUAUUUAAGUUCUUCUACCGCCCCCGCUUCUUCUUUCAUUUAUACUUGCUGCACCAUUUACUUCACACUCUGUAAAGCCAUAUGAAAGCUUGUUCAUUUAUGUUCACUUGCAAUUCAAAAGCAGUGUUUAUUUCAACUGUCAAAUUGACUACUUGCACGUAUUGAUUUCAGUCGAAACAAGGUUAUUGGUCGAUCCAGAAAUUGAAUCCAUAUGGCCAUUCCAGCAUCAUUCAACCACCUAAUUUCAAAUAUAUAAAUUAAUUCAACCCACUUAAGUGAUCAAAGGCGUGGAACAAAUCAUGAAAGAUUUUUCAGCUAUCAUAAAUUCGAACGGAUGUAGUUUGUAUUCUUUCAGGCUUAGACAGAUUUUUUGCAACAUAAACUUGUAUGUAAUGUACAUUUUUUUGUUCCUUACAAAUUAAUUGCUGCUAAAAUAAUUGUUUCGACCAAUAUUUAUUGUUAUAAUAGAGAAACCUUUUCUUGCAACUCAAACAGUUCCGAUGGCAUGAUCUGCAUCCCCUGUUUGCCUCUUGGGCUGCACGAUCUUGCUCCUUUUCAUCAAACGGCAACUUCGCUGCAGACAAAAAGAGGGGGUACAGUGCGCAGGGGCACCGUAGAUGUAGCCCAAAAAGAUGAUUUUGUCCCUCCAUGUCUAAGUAUUUUAACCAAAAAAUAAUAAUAAUUCCUUACAUCAUCAAUGAUUGCACUUGUAAAUCUAAGGGAUUAGAAUUCUGUAUUGAAUUUAUAUUUUAUUAAAUAAAAAAUUAAUGUUAAUUUUUUUUUUUUUUUAUCUAGCUAUCAUUGACUUUAUAUUUUGGAUCUUCAUCCAGAAUUAAGGCACAAAAUUUUUGUUCUAAAUAAAUAUUCUCAAUAUAAAUUUAUCACUUAAAUAAUAAUGAUAAGAUUUAAUAUUAAUUCUAUCAUUACUGAAAUGGAUUACAAAUUUUAUAUGACUUGUAAACGUAUCAUUAUGUUCUUGAUAUUUGAAACAUGAAUCAAGCAACAUAUGUAGCAUAUUUUUAUUUCAGUGUCGUGCUUCUCUAAAAAUUGUUGAAAGCAGAAGCCAAGCUGGCAUGCCUCCUGAGCUGGUGUGGUAGGUGAGUUGGAUUUGUUGAGCUGGCAAAUGAAAUUAUUUAUGAUGAUGCUGUGAAUUUAAUUGUCGUAUAAUGUUUGUGUAGAAUUAAGAAUGGAAGACAAUGUCGAUGAUGACAAGAAGAAUAGCAGCGCAUGUGAAUUGAAUAGUUGCAUCUUCUAGAAGCUUAAUGUGAUUGGUUCACAAUUGAAUUGAAUAGUUGCAUCUGCUAAUGAAGAAUAGCAGCGCAUGUGAAUUGAAUAGUUGCAUCUUCUAGAAGUUUGUCUCUGUAUGCAAACUAGCAAAGCUCUGUAUUUCAUUUUCAUUCAAGUCAUCAUAAUCAAUAAAGGCCUGAUUCUCAUACUCUGUUUGCAUUUGAAAGCAAUUCUUAAGAAUUUAAGUAAAAUGACCCUCACCAAAUUAGCUUAAUUCUUUUCAUUGUACCCAUUGCUUCACUUCCUCUUUUCGUCAACGACAAUGGGUAACUUAAUCUCAACCUUCUUACCAGCAGACUUAUUCGAUCGAACUUCAAACUGCGUUGGUGAACAAGCAAAAUAUGUAUGGGGUCUCGAAAAAAAUCUUCGGGUCUUGGAGACUGAAUUGCACAAAUUGACUCGAGCAAGGGACGAUCUGAAGACCAAGGUUGAGGUCGAAGAACAACGACCUCGAACCAGACGAACGAACCAGGUCGCAGGGUGGCUUGAAGAUGUGCAAAAACUGGAAACUGAAUUUACCGAGCUGGAACGAGUUAGAGCUCAAGAAAUGGAUAGAUUGUGCCUUGGAGGCCUCUGUUCCAAAAACUUCGUUUCAAGCUACAAUUACGGGACUCAGGUGGUCGAGUUGACGGAUCGAGUGAUCAAUUUAAAGAAAGACGGAGAAACAAUUGAAGUCGUUGUUGAGAAGGCGCCGGAUGGUGCAGCAAUUGAAUUACCUGUUGAUCACACGGUUGUUGGUCAAGAACGAUUACUUGAUCAAGUUUGGAGAUGUAUCACUGAUGAGGAAAAGAACAGGGGAAUUAUCGGCUUGUAUGGUAUAGGGGGAGUCGGCAAAACUACCCUUUUAAAACAAGUCAACAAC